CUACGGGCGGCUCCAGUGAGGAAUAUUGCACAAUGGGGGGAACCCUGAUGCAGCAACGCCGCGUGGAGGAUGACGCAUUUCGGUGUGUAAACUCCUUUUAUAUGUCAAGAAAAUGACGGUAGCAUAUGAAUAAGCACCGGCUAACUCCGUGCCAGCAGCCGCGGUAAUACGGAGGGUGCAAGCGUUACUCGGAAUCACUGGGCGUAAAGGACGCGUAGGCGGGUUGGAAAGUCAGGUGUGAAAUCCUACAGCUUAACUGUAGAACUGCACUUGAAACUUCUAAUCUAGAGUAUGGGAGGGGGAGAUGGAAUUAGUGGUGUAGGGGCAAAAUCCGUAGAUAUCACUAGGAAUACCUAAAGCGAAGGCGAUCUCCUGGAACAUAACUGACGCUAAGGCGUGAAAGCGUGGGGAGCAAACAGGAUUAGAUACCCUUGUAGUC
This 439-nucleotide ribosomal RNA is filed under the name uncultured bacterium. RNAcentral describes it as "partial 16S ribosomal RNA". It matches the Rfam family "Bacterial small subunit ribosomal RNA", at positions 339 to 795 of the family's 1533-position model. The record is from RNAcentral.